GACGAACGCUGGCGGCGUGCCUAAUACAUGCAAGUAGAACGCACAGUUUAUACCGUAGCUUGCUACACCAUAGACUGUGAGUUGCGAACGGGUGAGUAACGCGUAGGUAACCUGCCUGGUAGCGGGGGAUAACUAUUGGAAACGAUAGCUAAUACCGCAUAAUAUUAAUUAUUGCAUGAUAAUUAAUUGAAAGGUGCAAUUGCACCACUACCAGAUGGACCUGCGUUGUAUUAGCUAGUAGGUGAGGUAACGGCUCACCUAGGCGACGAUACAUAGCCGACCUGAGAGGGUGAUCGGCCACACUGGGACUGAGACACGGCCCAGACUCCUACGGGAGGCAGCAGUAGGGAAUCUCCGGCAAUGGACGAAAGUCUGACCGAGCAACGCCGCGUGAGUGAAGAAGGUUUUCGGAUCGUAAAGCUCUGUUGUAAGAGAAGAACGGGUGUGAGAGUGGAAAGUUCACACUGUGACGGUAUCUUACCAGAAAGGGACGGCUAACUACGUG
Molecule: ribosomal RNA, 505 nt
Filed under: uncultured bacterium
Lineage: Bacteria
Description: partial 16S ribosomal RNA
Rfam family: Bacterial small subunit ribosomal RNA
Source: RNAcentral